RNAcentral lists this long non-coding RNA (1575 nucleotides) under Marmota monax (woodchuck). The record is from RNAcentral. Lineage: Eukaryota; Metazoa; Chordata; Mammalia; Rodentia; Sciuridae.
GUAGACAUGUGCACACAUGGACACACUUAAUAAACCAAUGAUAUUUUGGUGGAAUUUUUAUUCCACCUCAACUUAUUUCAUCUUUAAUAUAUAAAGUGCUCAUCUCAACUCAUAAAUCAGGACAUGCAUUGUGAAGACCAUAGGUUGAAUUUCUUUUCUUAACUGCAGCCCAUCAACCCCCUUUCUGAGUGGCAGCUCUGGGAAGACAGGCUGGCUCCUGCAUCAAAAGCUGUGGUCCAGAAGCCCUAAUCUGUCUGCAUCUAAGGAUGUCCUGGCUGGGAAAGGGGUGGCCAGGACAGCAUGCCUCUCCAUAGGCCCAGAGGCUCCUCCUUCCUCCAGAGGCUCAGUAUCGGGGUGGCUGCUAGGAAUUCAGGGUUCACUCUUCCCUAUUGUCCUUCUCCCCAUUAGGUUCCCUUCAAAGGAAGAAAUACCAGGAGAGGCAAUAACACCUGCUCAGUGCCUGUGUCCCAGGCACUGUCCUGAAACUUUAUGUUCAUUAAUUCCAUUUAAUCCUCAUAAGAAAUCUAUUGAUUACAUUCUCACUUUUUAGAUGAGGAAACUACAGGCAUAGAAAGGCUCUGUCACCUGCCCAAGGCUUGCAUGGUGUGACUCUAGCAUGCCUAUGGGCACUUCUGAAGGUGCUUUAGGGGUGGCCGUGCAAAGGCCAGGCAUGGUAUCAGAGCACACACAGGAGCCUGUGCAGCUGGGCUGCUUGCUGCAGGUUUGUGGCUCUAGCUCUGGACAGUGGUAGAAGAAGGGGGUUAGAAUCUGUGUCUUGCCCAUUGUAUCAGUUAACUUCUGUUGCGUUAUAAAAAAACGCUCUCCCAACACAUACCCACGUGGUGUUUAACACAACAAUUUUGUUAUGCCUCUGGUUAUUCAGGGGCUCAGGAAUUCAGAUGACCACAGCAUGGAUGGCUUUUCUCUGCUCCUUGACUUCUGGGACCUCGGCUGGUAAGGGACUUCUCAGUUGGAAUCACUGCCUGGAACUUGCGGCAGGAAUUUAGGACUGCCCACUGGCAUAUUCACAGGUAGCUUCCCUGUGUGGUGUUGUUUCUUCACAGCAUGGUGGCCUUGGAGUGGGUGGAUUUCUUAUAUGGCAGUCCUGAGAUCAGGGAAGUUCCCACAAAUAAAGCAGAGGCUUCAUGGACCUUUUUGACUUCAUCUUAGAGUCACAGACUGAUACUCCCACCAUGUUCUACUGCUUGAAUAUGAUUUAAGGGAAGGGACACAGACCCUCCAGUGAUCAUUGGCAGGAAUGCCCAAGAAUUUCAUGGUUGUUGUUAUUUCUCUUUUUGGGGGAUUGGGGGCUGGGGAUUGAACUCAGGGACACUUGACCACUAAGCCAUAUCCCCACCCUAUUUUGUAUUUUAUUUAGAGACAGAGUCUCUCUAAGAUGCUUAGUGCCUUGCUCUUGCUGAGGCUGGUUUUGAACAUGAGAUCCUCCUGCCUCAGCCUCCAAAGCCCCUGGGAUUACAGGUGUGUGCUGCAGUGCCAGUGCCUGGCCCAUGGUUAUUAUUUUUAACUGCCAUAUCUGUCGUUCCUCAAAUGGGUGUUAGCUGCCUAAAAUAAACU